Cervus elaphus (red deer) is the source of this 1152-nucleotide long non-coding RNA. RefSeq lists it as uncharacterized. NCBI's taxonomy places the organism in Eukaryota, Metazoa, Chordata, Mammalia, Artiodactyla, Cervidae. The transcript has 3 exons. The record is from RefSeq and is a predicted model, not a curated record.
GCAUUGUGUGACUGUGGCUUUUGUUUAAUGGAAUAAACCUUAAUAUGAUUUAAGGAAACCAAAAUAUUUUUAAAGAAAAUUAUAUUUGAAGAAUUGCAGAAAGCUUGACCCAAGGGACGGAGAGUAGAAAACGAAAGUCUUUGAAUUUCCAAACUUCUGCAAGCAGGAAGCAGCUGCAAACACACAUUUCCUUUUGUGAAAAAAAAUGAUAACAGUGCAGACCAACAUACCGGAGCGUGGAGGCCAGAACCAUGGAUGAAGAAUUAAAUAUAAUGCAUCAUUAUGUACUCAGAUGCUCAGUCGUGUCUGACUCUUUGCAACCUCAUGGACUGUAGCCUGCCAGGCUCCACUGUCCAUGGAAUUCUCCAGGGAAAGAUCUUCUAUGCCUCUAUUGUUGCUGUGAGAAGAAAAUUUUCAGCCAGUUCCUGGUUCCAGAAAGACGAUGAGAGACAUGAAGAGCACAACCUCCCUAGUUAAGCUGCCCUAAGAAUGCAGUAAAGAACAGAGAACUCUCCCAGAGAAGAAAACUGCAGAUUGGCCAUUCCAACCGAACCAGCUAAAUUCAGCCUAGAUGAAGGCUGAGAUCUUUACAAUGUGAGCUGAAAGGACAACGUUUGUUUCUAGUGGAGGGGUGAUGUGUUAUGGUGCAAUUGAUAACUUUUACAAAGUUGUAUGCAGAUAACAAAAUAAAACACAGUACAUGACAGAAAUUUACAGAAGUGUUGAAGUAGUUUUGCUAUCCUUGUGUAAGAAAAGUUUAACACUAAUGUUAAGAAGCAGGAGAGAGACCAAGAUAGUGACAUUUGUUGUUGCUUAGUUGCUAAGUUGGGUCAUGUCUGACUCUUUGCAGCCCCAUGGACUGCAGCAUGCCAGGCUCCUCAAUCCUCCACUAUCUCCUGGAGUAUGCUCAAAUUCUUGUCUGUUGAGUCACGGAUGCUAUCUAACCAUCUCAUCCUCUGCCACCCUCUCUCCUUUUGCCUUCAAUCUUUCCCGGCAUCAGGGUCUUUUCCAAUGAGUCAACUCUUUGGCAUCAGGUGGCCAACGUAUUAGAACUUCAGCUUCAACCACAGUCCUUCUGAUAAAUAAUUCAGGGUUGAUAUCUUUUAGGACUGAUUGGUUUGAUCUCCUUGCAGUCCAAGGGACUCUCAAGAG